This 304-nucleotide ribosomal RNA is filed under the name uncultured bacterium. RNAcentral's name for it is "partial 16S ribosomal RNA". It matches the Rfam family "Bacterial small subunit ribosomal RNA", at positions 509 to 807 of the family's 1533-position model. The record is from RNAcentral.
CAGCAGCCGCCACGGUAAGACGGAGGGUGCUAGCGUUGUUCGGAAUCACUGGGCGUAAAGGGCGCGUAGGCGGCUUCUUAAGUCGGAUGUGAAAUCCCUGAGCUUAACUUAGGAAUUGCAUUCGAUACUGGGAAGCUAGAGUAUGGGAGAGGAUGGUAGAAUUCCAGGUGUAGCGGUGAAAUGCGUAGAGAUCUGGAGGAAUACCGAUGGCGAAGGCAGCCAUCUGGCCUAAUACUGACGCUGAGGUACGAAAGCAUGGGGAGCAAACAGGAUUAGAUACCCCAGUAGUCCCUGUCUCUUAUAC